AAGACUAUACUUUCAGGGAUCAUUUCUAUAGUCUGUUACUAGAGAAGAUUCUCUGAAUGUGUAGAGCACCGGAAACCACGAGGAAGAGGUACAGUGUUCUCUCUUGAGCGUGAACUUGACCCUUGGUGUUGCAUUACUUGUAACUAUCGUUGGGCGUUGAUGAUCGUUCUUCUCUUCCUUUAUGGGAGAGUAAGAGAGAGAGAACGCAGUCUGAGUGGUU
Molecule: small nucleolar RNA, 220 nt
Organism: Aotus nancymaae (Ma's night monkey)
Lineage: Eukaryota; Metazoa; Chordata; Mammalia; Primates; Aotidae
Source: Ensembl